GUAAAACUUUAUAUUCUGUAAAAAAAAGGCUUUAUUUCCAGCGCCGCCUCCCAGAAUGCUUUGCAUGGGGACGUGCGUCUGACGUCACGUAUACAGAAAAUUCGAAAUGGCUGCACGCGGUAGGUGAGGCCCGAGCGUAGAAAAGUGGAAAAGAGUGUUAUUCGUCAAAAAACCCACACAACGACGGUCAUUUUUUCGCCGUGCUAUUGUAAAAUUGUCUUUUAUCUGUGUUUUGUGUUCCGGGGGACCCCGACUCCAGAAUGUGAAAGUUUCCCGCGUGAAGCCGGUGAGUAAAAAGUUCAAUACAGUUAACUUAGGCCAUCUUUUGUUAGACGCUGUGAAUGUGUGUAGGUUACAUGCUACGAUAUUCCACAUAUUUCCAACUGCUUGAAACGAAAGCGUAUUACUUUAUUGUCAGUGUUGUUUAGGCCCAGGUCGCUAACGUUACUGCGUUAGUCAACAACGUAACGCUAGUGGAAACAGCCGUUCUUUGCCAUUAAUAUGAGUGUGUAUUAUUUCUUUCUUUGUUCUUUAGUGGAGCUCGAGAUCCUGUUUACUGUGGACUAGCUGUGUGUGACGCCAUGUUGUUUUUGUUUCCAUUACAAAAAAAAAGCUCCACCGUCUCGCCGAGUGCCAGCAAGAGUCAUGAGUACUUGUCAACUCGACUCCUCAACUGGAGAUAACUUUCUAGCACCUCACCAUGGGGAAGGACGCAUUCAUAUGCCUUCACCAGCACCUGCAUUAAACAUGCAGAGAGUUACACAAGGAACGGCAGUCCCUCCUCGACUCCCUCCACCCCCCUCACCAGCAGCCCUCAACAUGUGGCAGACCCAGGAGCCUGGAUCCAGCCUGGCCUACAGGCCAACAUGGCGAGGGGGAAGAAUGGCCGACAACAUUUCCUGC
Entelurus aequoreus (snake pipefish) is the source of this 903-nucleotide long non-coding RNA. RefSeq lists it as uncharacterized. The transcript has 4 exons. The record is from RefSeq and is a predicted model, not a curated record. NCBI's taxonomy places the organism in Eukaryota, Metazoa, Chordata, Actinopteri, Syngnathiformes, Syngnathidae.